RNAcentral lists this ribosomal RNA (785 nucleotides) under uncultured bacterium. Its description in RNAcentral is "bacterial SSU rRNA". It matches the Rfam family "Bacterial small subunit ribosomal RNA", at positions 13 to 795 of the family's 1533-position model. The record is from RNAcentral.
UUGAUCCUGGCUCAGGAUGAACGCUAGCGGCAGGCCUAACACAUGCAAGUCGAGCGGUAGAGAUCCCUUCGGGGGUCUUGAGAGCGGCGCACGGGUGCGUAACGCGUAUGCAACCUACCCUUUACAGGGGAAUAGCCCGUCGAAAGGCGGAUUAAUGCCCCAUGGACCUUUAGGAAGGCAUCUUCUGGAAGGUAAAGAUUCAUCGGUAAGGGAUGGGCAUGCGUGCCAUUAGCUGGAUGGUGGGGUAACGGCCCACCAUGGCAACGAUGGCUAGGGGUUCUGAGAGGAAGGCCCCCCACACUGGGACUGAGACACGGCCCAGACUCCUACGGGAGGCAGCAGUGAGGAAUAUUGGUCAAUGGGCGCAAGCCUGAACCAGCCAUGCCGCGUGCGGGAAGAAGGCGCUACGCGUCGUAAACCGCUUUUGUCCGGGGGUAACCGCGGGGACGUGUCCCCGCCUGCAAGUACCGGACGAAUAAGGGUCGGCUAACUCCGUGCCAGCAGCCGCGGUAAUACGGAGGACCCGAGCGUUAUCCGGAUUCAUUGGGUUUAAAGGGUGCGCAGGCGGCCCGGUCAGUCAGCGGUGAAAUGCCCGCGCUUCACGCGGGAGCUGCCGUUGAUACUGCCGGGCUAGAAUCUCAGCGAGGCGGGCGGAAUGCGCGGUGUAGCGGUGAAAUGCAUAGAUAUCGCGCAGAACGCCGAUUGGGGAGCCAGCUCGCCAGCUGGGUAUUGACGCUGAGGCACGAAAGCGUGGGGAUCGAACAGGAUUAGAUACCCUGGUAGUC